GAUGAAGAACGUAGCGAAAUGCGAUAAGUAAUGUGAAUUGCAGAAUUCAGUGAAUCAUCGAAUCUUUGAACGCACAUUGCGCCCGCCAGUAUUCUGGCGGGCAUGCCUGUUCGAGCGUCAUUUCAACCAUCAAGCCCCCGGCUUGUGUUGGGGACCUGCGGCUGCCCGCAGGCCCUGAAAACCAGUGGCGGGCUCGCUGUCACUCCGAGCGUAGUAGCAUAUAUCUCGCUCAGGGCGUGCUGCGGGUUCCGGCCGUUAAAAGCCUUUUUUACCCAAGGUUGACCUCGGAUCAGGUAGGAAGACCCGCUGAACUUAAGCAUAUCAAUAAGCGGAGGA
Molecule: unclassified non-coding RNA, 336 nt
Filed under: soil metagenome
Description: partial contains 5.8S ribosomal RNA, internal transcribed spacer 2, and large subunit ribosomal RNA
Rfam family: 5.8S ribosomal RNA (bases 1-120)
Source: RNAcentral